GAUGAACGCUAGCGACAGGCUUAACACAUGCAAGUCGAGGGGCGGCACAGGUAGCAAUACCGGGUGGCGACCGGCGCACGGGUGAGUAACGCGUAUGCAACUUGCCUAUCAGAGGGGGAUAACCCGGCGAAAGUCGGACUAAUACCGCAUGAAGCAGGGGCCCCGCAUGGGGAUAUUUGCUAAAGAUUCAUCGCUGAUAGAUAGGCAUGCGUUCCAUUAGGCAGUUGGCGGGGUAACGGCCCACCAAACCGACGAUGGAUAGGGGUUCUGAGAGGAAGGUCCCCCACAUUGGUACUGAGACACGGACCAAACUCCUACGGGAGGCAGCAGUGAGGAAUAUUGGUCAAUGGCCGAGAGGCUGAACCAGCCAAGUCGCGUGAGGGAUGAAGGUUCUAUGGAUCGUAAACCUCUUUUAUAAGGGAAUAAAGUGCGGGACGUGUCCCGUUUUGUAUGUACCUUAUGAAUAAGGAUCGGCUAACUCCGUGCCAGCAGCCGCGGUAAUACGGAGGAUCCGAGCGUUAUCCGGAUUUAUUGGGUUUAAAGGGUGCGUAGGCGGCCUUUUAAGUCAGCGGUGAAAGUCUGUGGCUCAACCAUAGAAUUGCCGUUGAAACUGGGGGGCUUGAGUAUGUUUGAGGCAGGCGGAAUGCGUGGUGUAGCGGUGAAAUGCAUAGAUAUCACGCAGAACCCCGAUUGCGAAGGCAGCCUGCCAAGCCAUUACUGACGCUGAUGCACGAAAGCGUGGGGAUCAAACAGGAUUAGAUACCCUGGUAGUCCACGCAGUAAACGAUGAUCACUAGCUGUUUGCGAUACACUGUAAGCGGCACAGCGAAAGCGUUAAGUGAUCCACCUGGGGAGUACGCCGGCAACGGUGAAACUCAAAGGAAUUGACGGGGGCCCGCACAAGCGGAGGAACAUGUGGUUUAAUUCGAUGAUACGCGAGGAACCUUACCCGGGUUUGAACGCAUUCGGACCGAGGUGGAAACACCUUUUCUAGCAAUAGCCGUUUGCGAGGUGCUGCAUGGUUGUCGUCAGCUCGUGCCGUGAGGUGUCGGCUUAAGUGCCAUAACGAGCGCAACCCUUGCCACUAGUUACUAACAGGUUAGGCUGAGGACUCUGGUGGGACUGCCAGCGUAAGCUGCGAGGAAGGCGGGGAUGACGUCAAAUCAGCACGGCCCUUACAUCCGGGGCGACACACGUGUUACAAUGGCGUGGACAAAGGGAUGCCACCUGGCGACAGGGAGCGAAUCCCCAAACCACGUCUCAGUUCGGAUCGGAGUCUGCAACCCGACUCCGUGAAGCUGGAUUCGCUAGUAAUCGCGCAUCAGCCAUGGCGCGGUGAAUACGUUCCCGGGCCU
This 1355-nucleotide ribosomal RNA is filed under the name uncultured bacterium. RNAcentral's name for it is "bacterial SSU rRNA". It matches the Rfam family "Bacterial small subunit ribosomal RNA", at positions 28 to 1381 of the family's 1533-position model. The record is from RNAcentral.